UCUAGGGACUGAAGUGAGGCUGACUGGCCUGUAGUUACCCAGAUCCUCUUUCUUCCCUUUUUUAAAGAUGGGCACUACAUUAGCCUCUUUCCACUCAUCCACAAGUACUUUAUAUGACCCCAUUCCCAAGGCUUCAUCUCCAAUGUCUACAAGUCUGGUUGUAGACUGUGUACAUACUGGGCAAGCACAGUCUCAACAUGCCAGUCAUGGUUCCUCAAAGGGUCUUAGUCUCUGUUACUUGGUGUGGAGACAGAGGAAAGAUAUGUGUGGGGGUGCCGUUCAACUCUCCACUUCCAACAAAGACUAUAACAAUACUUUAAUCUCUUUUAGGUUGGGGAGCAUACAUGAAGGGACAGGUUGCUCAAGGAAGAUGGUCUUCUCAGGAGUCUCUGCUUCACAUCAAUGUAUUAGAGUGAAUCGCUUCAUGAGGAGUGUGAUUUAAGUCUUCCAUCCAAUGGCAAAAUCUGUAUCAUCCUGGGAUUCAAACCUUGUUUUAUCAACCCUUAGUAAGUUAUUGUUCAGGCCCCUGGCAUCCUGCUCUCUACUACAUCUCUCUGUGAAGGUAGCAUUUUUGGUUGCUAUUAUGUCAUCCAGAAGAGUCAGGAAGCUGGGGGCUCUUAUGGCUGAGCCUCCUCCCACCCCCAGUUUUCCAUAAGGACAAAGAUUCCAUUCCUAAGGUGGUGUCAGAUUUUCACAUUACCUGUGUUUUACCCUAACCCUCACUCUAGCAGGGCAGAGGUGUUGUGGCACUCACUGGAUGUGUGUUGGGUUCUUGUCUUUUACCUGCAGAGGCAAAACCGUUUUGAAGGUCUCCUAGACUUUUUGUACCAUUCACAAAACUUAUGAAAGGAGAGGCCAUCUCCUCCCAGAGACUGCCAAAGUGGAUCUUUUGGUACGUCCUACUUUGCUACAAGAUGAACGUCUCUCUUGAAGGCAGCGUGAGAGUACAGUCAACUAGAGCUGAAGCCGCUUCAAUAACUUCCCUGAGUCACAUCCCUGUUACUGACACCUGCAGGGCAGCAACUUGGAGUUCCAUUCACACCUGCAUUAGACACGAAGCACUGGUGCAAACAGCUGCUUCUGAUACCUCUCUAGGCAGGACAGCUCUGCAGUCUCUUUGUGUCAUAGGACUCCAGGCACCCACCUCCUUUAAAUAAGCAUGGCUUGUGAAUCAUCUGAAGUGCACUGCACAUAGAGACAGUCACUCAAAGGAGGAGAAAGGGUAACUUCAGUUCUUCUAGAUGUUACUGCAAAGAGGGGGCCCUUUUCCUUUUGCAACUCACUGUCUGUGAUUCUAGCUAGUGAGGACACUGUGUUAAUGUGUGCUGGAUGCUGCUCUUUGCUCCCCUUCACUAUAUCCCCUCUGUCUUCUAUUGUACUUCAUCUUGAGCCACUUGCGUCACUUUGCUCACAGUUCUGCAGGAAGUAGAGUCCACUUUAGGCUGCUGCUGCCCCAGGAGGCCAGUCACUGGUUUUAUUGGUGGCUAAGCUGAAUGGGGUGAAGCUGAGACUCCUAGUCAGCUCUAUCUUCUCCAUGCUCCUCAUGUCGCAUAAGGCAGGUUGUGGAGGUUGACUCUGCAGCUGCCCCAGCCCUGCAGAGCUUUGUGGGGCAGUGCACUUCUGAUUGCCGGCUGAGACUGCAGCAGGCUGUGUUGCUCCCCACUCUCAGGGCUGGUUGGCAUGGCUGGAGUGCUGGGUGGGACAGAGCCAAGACUCCCAUUAAUCAGUGAUUCCAGCAGGGCAGAUGACUCUUGUGCAGGGCCAGCUGUGUGGAGGGUCAGCUCAGGGGCUGUGAUCGCCUUGCAAUUGCAGGCAGGCAGUGGACAUUCUGGUUUCCUCGCUCAGUAGCGUAAGGCUGGUUUUAACUUUGCAUGGACUGAUGUAGUUUUUACAUCUCCUUUUAUGUGCUGUUGAGUUGGAUUUUUUUCCUUUAGUAUUAUGAAGCACGUUAUUUCCAUCAGGAGAUAAUAACAAAGGAGAUGGCCAUGUCCGUCCUUGGCUGUUGAGAACCUGGAUCCCAUCAAUCCCUCCAAGAUGUUGACUCUAAGGCGACAGCAGCUGCUGUGUUCAUUGCUGAAUGUGGUACCAGUGGGGAGAAGAUGUCCAUAGAGUCCCCAGCCCUAAGUCCAGAAAUGAUGGUGUAGCACAUCACAUGGGGAAUCACUUACCAGGAAAACCAUUCCACAGUGUGGCUUAUCCUCCCAGAGCUAGUGCUCUGCAGUGAUAGCAAAAAUCUAAGCCAAGGAAGCACCAGUAAAAGACCCUGCUGGCAAAAUAUACUGUCUGUUGAAAAGGAUGUUGGGUUAUGAGGUGCUGCCAGGUGUGGAUGGAAAAAACUGAGCAAUUCUGGUGAUGUGAAGGGGAGAAUGCAGGGAGGGAAGCCCAAUUGCCUUAAUAAAACUUUGUUUUUCCAGAAGUGAAGUUGUGUGAGUUGUUCCAAGGAAAGGGUGGGAAGAGGGCCUGGAACUGUCCUGCCAGUGUCCUAGAGCUAGAGCUGGGCCUUAUGGAGAGGCAUGGGGCAUGGGAAGGGACCCAGGCAGUGGCCUCUCAUUACAGAAUUUGCAUACAAAGUUCAAAGCUGAUAAUCCGCAGUGCUGCAGAAAACUGAGCCAAGGAGACAAUAGGAAGAGGUGUGGCUUUCAGGAUCAGCAAGAGACAGAAACCAAAAGCUCCUUAGAGGUGUUUACAGCAGGAUUAGUCCUGGCAGCAGUUCACAGUAUUCCUAAACUGAGAGUGCAAGUGCAGUUUUGCUACUGAAGCCCUCUCUGAGGGACAUGAUGGCAGGGAUGCUACUGGGAGUGACUGCACAGUAAGAAUGGGGAGUGGGGCCAGGGCCCAAAUGCUUCGAGCUGCACUACAGCUCAGGCACCACUCGUGCACCCCCUGCUUCUGAUUGGUUUUAUAACCUGGAACAAAGGAAGGAGAGGAAGUUUGCAGGGUAAAGCACAUGGGCAACUAUCCUUCAAAGCAGAAUUGGGUAAACUGCAGAUUUGCAUAAAUUUGAAUAGAUCUAGAGUGACUGAGGGAGGGAAAGAGAAUGGAAAUGGAGAGAAAUCCCAGCCUUUCAUGCUUUCCUUCCGUAUCCCUCAGUUUUACAGCGGGGGAAGAGAGGGAGCAUGGAGAAGAUGUUCCUCUUUAGCAGGGGUGGGGGCGGGGAGGAAUGCAGUGCUGGCUGCUACAUAUGCUGAUUGGUGACAUGUUUCAGUGGCUUUGAUUGGCUGCCCAGGAGAUCAGGGAAUGGAGAAGGCAGCCAGUCAAAAGGUUUUUUUCCUGUAGAUUGCUGGAGGGACUGAGACCUAUAGUCUGAAACCCUGUAGAGUUGGCAAGUUUGAUAAUGGCCUUUUCUGUAAGGCCAACUGGUGCAAUCCAAGCAUGCGAGACAGACUGGGAAACCCUAUGGUAGUUAAUAAAACCUUAAGUUUAGAGCAGCUUUGCAAACUGGAAGCGAGGGUCAAUGUCACUAUUACUAGCGAAAAUGUAGACCAGGAUGACACUGUCUGUCAGGAGCAUCAAACACAGCAUCUUGUAUCUGAGCUGAAACGUAACUUUACAAAGACAUCCCUUCUUGAUUUAAAUAUUUCAAGUGAUGGAGAGUCCAUUGCAUCUCUUACUGUGCUGGGCCAAUGGCUGAUCACCAUCAGUCUUUAAAAUGUGCACGUUAUUUCCAUUUUGAAUUUGUCUAGCUUUAACUUCCAGCCACUGAUUGUACUGUGCAUCACUCUACACAGCAAGAGUGGAUGGGGUGAACUUUUAGCCCAGCAGUUAGAGCAGUCAGAUGGGUGAGACCUGGGUUCAGUUUCCCUGUCUCUGUCACGGGGUGAAAGGAUUUGAACAGGGGUCUCUCACCUCUCAGAGAAGUCCUCUAACCACUGAGCUAUGGGAUAUUCUAAUGUGGGGGCAGGUGCCUGUCUCACUCUGUCCAGUUGAAGCUGUUCCACUUUAUGUACAUACUUAGAGUGACUGGAGCAAGGGACCUGGACUCUCGGUCUCCCAUAUGCUGCCCUAACCACUGGACCACAGAGUCAUUCCCACGCUCUUUGGCCUAGUACCUCAUGCCCAAAGUCAUCCAGCAGACACGUAGCAGAGCCAGGAGUAGAAAGCCCAGGGCCAGAAGGGCAGGCAGACCUGCAGGGGCUAAGUGCGUGGAUGAGAUGAUAGCGUAGGGAGGAGGGGUUUAGGUUUAUUAGGAACUGGGGAAAAUUUUGGGAAAGGAGAAGCCUGUACAAGAAUGAUGGGCUCCACCUAAACCAAAACAAAAUCAGAUUGCUGGCAUGUGAAAAUUAGAAAAGUAGAGAAUGUGUUAAAUUAAGGGCUAGGAGAAAGCCGACAGGUGUGGCAGAGCACAUGGUUUGGGUGGACACAUUCCUUAGGGAUUAAUUUAUUAAAGAGGGAACUCUAUAUCUUAGUAAAGAGGAAAGGAAAGAAGUUGGUAAAGUACAGCUCCGCACUAGUGAGAAACAGUCAAAUGUAAAAGAGCCCCAAUUAAUAUAACACAUGAAGGCAAGAAACUGAAUAUUAACAAAAGUGCUUAUAUAUAAAUAUUAGAAGUCUAAAUACUAAGAUGGGUGAACUAGAGUGCCUGUCAAUAAAUGAGGAUAUCGAUAUGAUAGGCAUUGCGGAAACUUAGUGGAAUGAGGAUAAUCAAUGGGACAUGGUAAUAGCAGGCUGUGACAUACCGACCAUACAAUCCAGACCAGCUGGAGGCUGUAUCACCCCUGCCCUGUUACCUGGGGUACCUUGCAAGGCCUUGCUGCUGUAGCCUCCAACCUGGACUGCUCACAACUAGCCACCAGCAUGCAGGUCAUUCCCAGGCGUGUUUGUGUAACUGCAGCCUGCUAAUCACACCCUGGCUGUAACCAGCCUUGGUUACAUUGCAUGGUGACCCCAAUGAAUUCCCAGUCCCAGAUUUUCCCCCAGAAAUGUAUGUCUUGUACUUCCCAGCCUUCCCUUGGACAGUCCAAAUAUAUUAAAUCUGUUAUUCCUUUAAGGGAAUAAUAUACCAUACCAUCUACUACAAAGAAAGAGAGACUUUAAGUAAGAGCAAGUAAUGAGGUAUAAAAGUCAGAAAUGGUUGCAAGAAAAAUAAAGAUAAAAAAAGAUAAAAGAUAAAAUGCUUUCUAGUGCUUAACUUAACAGACUAUAUUAGAUUCAAGCAAAGUUUCUUAACACGUGCUUCUAGCAAGAUUAUUGACCAAACUCUUCAGGUCAGGACCCCUCUCCCAGAGUCCAAUGGCUGUUUCUUUUGUUUUUUCAGGUGCAGUGAAUGCAAUGGCCAGGGAGAGAGAGGGUUGUGUGUGCUUUGGGGUGAUUUGCCCAUCCUUUUUAUAGUUUCAGUCUUUUCCUCUGCCCCUCCUUGAAAAAUAUUUCCAGCUGAGAGACAAAGUGUCUAUGUGGAAGGAUGUUCUCUGCUGGGUUUUUUUCACCUGUUUGAGCUUCCUUUGUUUUCCCUUCCUGGCUGAUGACUCUGUUUACGCUUAAAUGCAAAUUAAGGCAAGCACACAUUCCUCUGUUUACAACAGACCUGUUUGCAGACUUCUGCCUAGGCAGGGCUGUGAGGUUUGCAACAUGUGUUAAUAACACGAUACAGGGCAAUCUUAUAACUUUACUUACAAUGUUGCCACACAUAUUUUAUUGGGACAAUAUUGACAAGCAAAUUAUCAGUUUCCAAAUGAUAUCUUACAAGGUGUACUUUGUACAGAGAUUUUUACAGUAGUUUGUAGGAUGUGAAUACAGGGCUAUAUUCCGUUACACAGGAUACAAAACAUAAAGGAAUGACAGAGUAGAUCACGCUGACAGGGGUGGCACUCUAUCUGAAAAAAAGCACAGAGUCAAAUGAAGUCAAAAUCUUAAAUGAAUCAAGGUGUACACUAGAUCUCUAUGGAUAGAAAUUCCAUGCUUGAAUAAUAGAGUAUAGCAGUAGGAAUAUAUUACCAACCUCCUGACCAAGAUGGUGAUUGUGAAACACUCAGAGAGAUUAUAAAGGCGCAAAACACAAUAAUAAUGAGGGAUUUCUACUGACUUCAUAUUGACUGGGUAUAUGUCCCCUCAGGGAGGGAUGAAGAGAGAAAAUUUCUAGACAUCAUACAUGACUGUGGCUUGGAGCAGCUAGUCCUGGAACCUACAAAGGGAGAGCCAAUUCUUGAUUUAGUCCUAAGUGGAGCACAGGAUCUGGAUAACAUAGAUAAAUACAUAGAUGCAUAGGCACGGCCACGCAGAUAAACCCAGCAUGUUGGGGAAGAGUCAACACUGCUUUUGUAAAGAGAAAUAAAUCAUGCUUCACCAACAGUUUUAACAGAAUAAUUGCAAAUGAUACAAAAUUACCCAAAAUAGCAAAGGCCAAAGCUGACUGUUAACAGAUACAAAGGAAUCUCACCAGACUGGGUGAUUUGGCAACAAAGUGGCAGAUAAAGUUCAAUGUUGAUAAGUGCAAAGUAAUGCACAUUGGAAAAAAUAAUUCCAACCACACACAAAAAUGAUGGGAUCUAAAUCAUCUGUUACCACUCAAGAAACAGACCUUGAAGUCAUUGUGAAUGACUCUGAAAACGUCUGUUCAAUGUGCAGCAGUUGUCAAAAAAGCUAGCAGAAUGUUAGGAACCAUUAGGAAAGGGAUAGAUAAUAAGAUAGAAAAUACCAUAAUACCACUAUAUAGAUCUAUGGAACACCCUACCCUGAAUACUGUGUGCAGUUCUGGUUGCCCCAUCUCAAAAAAGAUAUAUUAGAAUGGGAAAAGCUACAGCGACGGGCAACAA
This is a long non-coding RNA of Chelonia mydas (Green sea turtle), 6749 nucleotides long. RefSeq lists it as uncharacterized. The transcript is spliced from 3 exons. Lineage: Eukaryota; Metazoa; Chordata; Testudines; Cheloniidae. The record is from RefSeq and is a predicted model, not a curated record.